Molecule: long non-coding RNA, 837 nt
Organism: Cavia porcellus (domestic guinea pig)
Lineage: Eukaryota; Metazoa; Chordata; Mammalia; Rodentia; Caviidae
Exons: 5
Source: RefSeq, a predicted model, not a curated record
GAGAGCAAUAACCAUGAAAACCAGAAAGAUCUAAUGCUGUUGUCAGUUCCAAGUAGUGAUGUAAAGCCAAAGAAGAGAGAAAAGUUGGACUCCAACAUGGUGUAGAUGGGGAUAACACCAUGGGGGCCAAUAGGACCAGUGAAUUAGAGAGAAUCUGAUCUUUGGACAACACUUUGGAGCAGAGCUGCCAGCAAUCCUGGGCUACUUGUGUACUUCUGUACCAUUUUGGAAUGCAGACCUCAGUCACUGUCCCAGACUGAAGAAGUUGCCUGUAUAUCAAUUUGAAGACAGAAAGAAACCUGCAGUGGGUAAUUUAUAAAGAACAGAAUUCUGGAGUCUGGAAAGUCCAACAGCAUGGUACCAGUAUCUGCUUGGCAUCUGAUAUUUCAUGAUCAAUCAGAGGUCUCCGACCAAGUUUCUAUUCUGCUGCUUCUGCUGAAUUCAGUUGACCUUGACAGUGUCUCAAGCCCAACUGCACGACUUUGAUGAGCACAGAAUCAGAGUAACUUCUUAUACCUCAAGGCACUUUGACCUAGUCAAGGAUGCCUUUGACUAUGCUUGCUCUGUAAGGGCCCUUCCCUUUGUUCCCUGGAGUGUUAACAUAUUAUGAUAAACAAUUCCUUUGUUUCAACAAAUGUGUUCAAAAGUAGCCUGUGUUCAAGACUAGCCUGUCUGUCAAUAUAUAACUCAAAGCAUAUAUCCAACUAUGUAACUUUGUCACUUGCUUUGUACCUCCCACUUCUGAAUACUAUAUAAACUAAGAUUUCUGUAAAUUCAGUGUUGUAGCCUUUGUGGAAUUAUCCUGCAGGAGUCCACUGGUGUCAAGAUUCAACAGUC